RNAcentral lists this long non-coding RNA (526 nucleotides) under Triticum aestivum (bread wheat). RNAcentral's name for it is "long non-coding RNA (TAES_LNC003140)". The record is from RNAcentral. Lineage: Eukaryota; Viridiplantae; Streptophyta; Magnoliopsida; Poales; Poaceae.
UCGUUCAUAAUUUCGUGUGAAAUAGUCCCACCUCGCUCCUUUAAACUGAUUCUCAUCUAUUUAAAUAUGUUUGCACUUGUCUGUAAUAUCAAUCAGCCUCCUCCAAAACAAACAAACGGAGUGACAAUACAUGGGAGAGAAACAACAAAGGGUCAAAUCCUGGGCGGCGCUCCUCGAUCUGGUAUCUGGAUCGACUCAGUCCAUACGGGGAAGAGAGAGAGAGACAGAGUCAGGAACGGGCGCCGGCGACCUUCGCUCCUGCAUGCAUAAUAGGCAUAUGAGAACGCGGUGACGAAAUUAGAGAGAGACACGAGGGGGAAGGGCAAGGGACGGGGGGAUACAGCGGCGGCGCUCCUCGAUCUGGUCUGGAUCGACGCAGUCCAUACGGGGAAGAGAGAGAGACAGACGGGGCGAGGCGAUAUGGGAUAACUUUGAAGUGUCGCUUGAAUGUACACGUUAUGGUUGUACGUGGCGCUCCUCUUACAUGAAGUAGUGCGUGGCUACGUGCGAUGGAAAGGGCCAGGCC